GCAGUUAAUCUCUUCUUUUUGAUCAGAUUCACUUGGUCGUAACGACUCUGAAUCCAUUCAGCAUCAGUCAACUUGGGACUUUGAGGGUGCUAUUAUUCUUUUGUUUCUUUCCUUCUUUUUUCUUUUCUUGAUUUCCGAUUUCUUUUUAUUUCUUUUGAUUUCUUUUGAUUUUUUUUGAUUUUGCACCCUCCUCUUCCUUUUUUUCUCUUUUUUUAUUUUGUUUGUAAUGCCCCAGUUGGCUGUCCUGCUGAUUCUCGAGAUGCAGCUGAGUGAUCUUCUUUUCUUG
This 286-nucleotide long non-coding RNA is filed under the name Lathyrus oleraceus (garden pea). Its description in RNAcentral is "Pisum sativum (pea) long non-coding RNA (PSAT_LNC006486)". Lineage: Eukaryota; Viridiplantae; Streptophyta; Magnoliopsida; Fabales; Fabaceae. The record is from RNAcentral.